This 2923-nucleotide ribosomal RNA is filed under the name Klebsiella pneumoniae. Its description in RNAcentral is "bacterial LSU rRNA". It matches the Rfam family "Bacterial large subunit ribosomal RNA". Lineage: Bacteria; Pseudomonadati; Pseudomonadota; Gammaproteobacteria; Enterobacterales; Enterobacteriaceae. The record is from RNAcentral.
GGGUUGUGAGGUUAAGCGACUAAGCGUACACGGUGGAUGCCCUGGCAGUCAGAGGCGAUGAAGGACGUGCUAAUCUGCGAAAAGCGUCGGUAAGGUGAUAUGAACCGUUAUAACCGGCGAUGUCCGAAUGGGGAAACCCAGUGCAAUUCGUUGCACUAUCGUUAACUGAAUACAUAGGUUAACGAGGCGAACCGGGGGAACUGAAACAUCUAAGUACCCCGAGGAAAAGAAAUCAACCGAGAUUCCCCCAGUAGCGGCGAGCGAACGGGGAGCAGCCCAGAGUCUGAAUCAGCUUGUGUGUUAGUGGAACGGUCUGGAAAGUCCGACGGUACAGGGUGAUAGUCCCGUACACCAAAAUGCACAGGCUGUGAACUCGAAGAGUAGGGCGGGACACGUGGUAUCCUGUCUGAAUAUGGGGGGACCAUCCUCCAAGGCUAAAUACUCCUGACUGACCGAUAGUGAACCAGUACCGUGAGGGAAAGGCGAAAAGAACCCCGGCGAGGGGAGUGAAAAAGAACCUGAAACCGUGUACGUACAAGCAGUGGGAGCACCUUCGGGUGUGACUGCGUACCUUUUGUAUAAUGGGUCAGCGACUUAUAUUCUGUAGCAAGGUUAACCGUAUAGGGGAGCCGCAGGGAAACCGAGUCUUAACUGGGCGUUAAGUUGCAGGGUAUAGACCCGAAACCCGGUGAUCUAGCCAUGGGCAGGUUGAAGGUUGGGUAACACUAACUGGAGGACCGAACCGACUAAUGUUGAAAAAUUAGCGGAUGACUUGUGGCUGGGGGUGAAAGGCCAAUCAAACCGGGAGAUAGCUGGUUCUCCCCGAAAGCUAUUUAGGUAGCGCCUCGUGAACUCAUCUUCGGGGGUAGAGCACUGUUUCGGCUAGGGGGUCAUCCCGACUUACCAACCCGAUGCAAACUACGAAUACCGAAGAAUGUUAUCACGGGAGACACACGGCGGGUGCUAACGUCCGUCGUGAAGAGGGAAACAACCCAGACCGCCAGCUAAGGUCCCAAAGUCAUGGUUAAGUGGGAAACGAUGUGGGAAGGCACAGACAGCCAGGAUGUUGGCUUAGAAGCAGCCAUCAUUUAAAGAAAGCGUAAUAGCUCACUGGUCGAGUCGGCCUGCGCGGAAGAUGUAACGGGGCUAAACCAUGCACCGAAGCUGCGGCAGCGACACUAUGUGUUGUUGGGUAGGGGAGCGUUCUGUAAGCCUGCGAAGGUGACCUGUGAGGGUUGCUGGAGGUAUCAGAAGUGCGAAUGCUGACAUAAGUAACGAUAAAGCGGGUGAAAAGCCCGCUCGCCGGAAGACCAAGGGUUCCUGUCCAACGUUAAUCGGGGCAGGGUGAGUCGACCCCUAAGGCGAGGCCGAAAGGCGUAGUCGAUGGGAAACAGGUUAAUAUUCCUGUACUUGGUGUUACUGCGAAGGGGGGACGGAGAAGGCUAUGUUAGCCGGGCGACGGUUGUCCCGGUUUAAGCAUGUAGGCUGGUUAUCCAGGCAAAUCCGGAUAAUCAAGGCUGAGGUGUGAUGACGAGGCACUACGGUGCUGAAGUAACAAAUGCCCUGCUUCCAGGAAAAGCCUCUAAGCAUCAGGUAACAUUGAAUCGUACCCCAAACCGACACAGGUGGUCAGGUAGAGAAUACCAAGGCGCUUGAGAGAACUCGGGUGAAGGAACUAGGCAAAAUGGUGCCGUAACUUCGGGAGAAGGCACGCUGGUGUGUAGGUGAAGCCCCUGCGGGUGGAGCUGAGACCAGUCGAAGAUACCAGCUGGCUGCAACUGUUUAUUAAAAACACAGCACUGUGCAAACACGAAAGUGGACGUAUACGGUGUGACGCCUGCCCGGUGCCGGAAGGUUAAUUGAUGGGGUUAUCCGUAAGGAGAAGCUCUUGAUCGAAGCCCCGGUAAACGGCGGCCGUAACUAUAACGGUCCUAAGGUAGCGAAAUUCCUUGUCGGGUAAGUUCCGACCUGCACGAAUGGCGUAAUGAUGGCCAGGCUGUCUCCACCCGAGACUCAGUGAAAUUGAACUCGCUGUGAAGAUGCAGUGUACCCGCGGCAAGACGGAAAGACCCCGUGAACCUUUACUAUAGCUUGACACUGAACAUUGAGCCUUGAUGUGUAGGAUAGGUGGGAGGCUUUGAAGCGUGGACGCCAGUCUGCGUGGAGCCAACCUUGAAAUACCACCCUUUAAUGUUUGAUGUUCUAACGUUGGCCCCUGACCGGGGUUGCGGACAGUGUCUGGUGGGUAGUUUGACUGGGGCGGUCUCCUCCCAAAGCGUAACGGAGGAGCACGAAGGUUAGCUAAUCCUGGUCGGACAUCAGGAGGUUAGUGCAAUGGCAUAAGCUAGCUUGACUGCGAGCGUGACGGCGCGAGCAGGUGCGAAAGCAGGUCAUAGUGAUCCGGUGGUUCUGAAUGGAAGGGCCAUCGCUCAACGGAUAAAAGGUACUCCGGGGAUAACAGGCUGAUACCGCCCAAGAGUUCAUAUCGACGGCGGUGUUUGGCACCUCGAUGUCGGCUCAUCACAUCCUGGGGCUGAAGUAGGUCCCAAGGGUAUGGCUGUUCGCCAUUUAAAGUGGUACGCGAGCUGGGUUUAGAACGUCGUGAGACAGUUCGGUCCCUAUCUGCCGUGGGCGCUGGAGAAUUGAGGGGGGCUGCUCCUAGUACGAGAGGACCGGAGUGGACGCAUCACUGGUGUUCGGGUUGUCAUGCCAAUGGCACUGCCCGGUAGCUAAAUGCGGAAGAGAUAAGUGCUGAAAGCAUCUAAGCACGAAACUUGCCCCGAGAUGAGUUCUCCCUGAGACUUUAAGUCUCCUGAAGGAACGUUAAAGACGAUGACGUUGAUAGGCCGGGUGUGUAAGCGCAGCGAUGCGUUGAGCUAACCGGUACUAAUGAACCGUGAGGCUUAACCUUACAACGCCGAAG